This is an RNA transcript of Panicum hallii, 2339 nucleotides long. It is a transcript of the gene named protein DETOXIFICATION 45, chloroplastic-like, with no coding region annotated. The transcript is spliced from 15 exons. The record is from RefSeq and is a predicted model, not a curated record. Lineage: Eukaryota; Viridiplantae; Streptophyta; Magnoliopsida; Poales; Poaceae.
GAAACGAAACAAACCAUGCUGUUUCCGUUCUUGUCUCUGCUCGCUCUCAACCUUGUGCCAACUGCCAAGUAAAUAUCAAAGCCGAUAUGGAUUGAAAUUGUUGGGGCAUGAAAUGGACUAGGGAGCAGCAAGCCGGAGCAGACUAGGAGACGACCGGGCGCCGCCCUUUGCCAGGUAGGUGUUCGUCGGGCCCUUCGCCGGCGACGAGCUUCCACAAGAUAGAAGAAUGCGCAGAUAGUCUAAGCACCCGAUCCAGACAUCAAGGCAACAAUGCUGCACCACCUUAGUGCGCAUGUCUCUGCGCACCCAGCGAUUCGUUCACCCACUAGGCUUGCUUGUUCUUCCAUAUUUUGUAACAAAGCAAACAGCAGAAUCACCGCUUCACCAUCAACCAACCGUGCAAAGUUGCUCCUGCUGCGGGGGUGGCAUUCUACGAGGCAGUGGCGCACCAUCCCUCUCGCCAGUGGCCAGUCACUGCCAGGAUACAGUCCUGACGAUGCUGAUCAAAGCCUUCAACCAAGCGACAACAUCUCUUUCGCUGCUGCAAAGGAGGCUGUCAUAGGAAUAAACAGUGGCCUGAAUUCUGUGGGUGUCAGAAGUGAGCUAAUUCUUCUAGCUCUACCGGCAGUCUUUGGUCAAGCUAUUGAUCCAAUGGCGCAACUUAUGGAGACUGCAUACAUUGGUAGAUUAGGUGCAUUGGAAUUGGCUUCGGCUGGUAUUGGUGUAUCGAUUUUUAAUAUUGUGUCAAAGAUCUUCAACAUACCGUUGUUGAGCAUUGCGACUUCAUUUGUGGCAGAGGAUAUUUCUAAGAGUGCUAUCAAGCAUCCUAGUUCAGGCAAAUUGGAGCUUACAUCUGUAUCAUCUGCCUUGAUAUUAGCUGCUGGAAUUGGUGUAAUUGAAGCAUUAGCAUUGUUCCUAGGAUCAGGAUUGUUUCUUAAACUAAUGGGCGUGUCACCUGUCUCUCCAAUGUAUAAGCCUGCAAAACUCUUUCUUUCAUUGAGAGCUCUGGGAGCCCCUGCAAAUGUGCUUAUGUUGGCAGUCCAAGGUAUCUUUCGGGGAUUCAAGGAUACCAAGACUCCAGUGUUUUAUAUAGGAUUGGGCAAUCUCUCUGCUGUAGUCCUUCUUCCUCUACUUAUAUAUGGCUUUCAGCUUGGCAUAACUGGAGCUGCAAUUUCUACUGUUGUGUCCCAGUACAUUAUUACAAUUCUUCUUAUUCGGUCUCUUAGUAAAAGAGCAGUUCUACUUCCUCCGAGACUAGACCAGUUAGAGUUCGGUGGAUAUCUAAAAUCUGGUGGUAUGCUGCUGGGGAGAACUCUCUCAAUUCUAUUAACUAUGACCAUUGGUACAUCAAUGGCUGCUCGACAAGGCCCAACAGCUAUGGCUGCUCAUCAGAUUUGUUUGCAAGUAUGGCUUGCUGUGUCUUUGCUUGCUGAUGCUUUAGCUGUUUCUGCCCAGGCACUAAUAGCAAGCUCUUAUGCAAUAGUGGACUACAAAAGGGUUCAGAAGAUAGCAAUGUUUGCGUUGCAGAUAGGAGUAGUUAGUGGAUUAGCCUUGGCUGUUGGUUUGUAUGCCUCAUUUGGCAAUAUAGCUAGACUAUUUACCAGUGACCAAGAGGUCCUAAUGGUUGUCAAAUCAUGUGCAUUGUUUGUCUGUGCCAGUCAACCAAUUAAUGCCCUGGCAUUCAUCUUUGAUGGUCUACACUACGGUGUAUCAGAUUUUGACUAUGUUGCUCAAGCUACUAUUGCGGUCGGGGUCAUGUCAUCACUGGUCCUGUUAUGGGCUCCAUCUGUAUUCGGCUUGGCUGGAGUCUGGGUUGGUUUGACUACACUCAUGGGGUUGCGCAUGGCUGCAGGCAUCUUGAGGUUGCUAUGGAAAUGGGGUCCUUGGUCAUUUUUGCAUGAGGAGCCAUAAAUUGAGGUUUGUCAAUUAUCAGCCUUUGCAGUUCGGAAUAUGUCUUCGUUCUGCAUGUCAGGACUCACUCAACCCGUACUCUGGCGCUCCCCUGGCUCAAACAAGAUCUGACUUCAUUGCAAUUCUUGUUGGGAGAACUCUGAGCUGCUAGACCCUUGGAGCUGCCACAUGCUGCUGUAGUGCUGUCAUGAUACAAGCACAAGGAGCGAUACGGAGUGUCCAUGCAGCCAAUUAUCUCACUUGGCACAGGUGCUUCAGCAGAGGUAGAUUUGGAUCCAGUUGUAGGCCAUAUGUACAUUUUCUGUGGCGUGUUGUUUCCAGAUCAAUGUCAGCAGAGACUAGUUUCAUAACAUGAGAAGGUGCUAUUGUUCAGCUCCGUUUUGUAACAUUUGCAGUGAUGUCUAUUAAUUUAGUUGAAGCCAACGUCA